UACGAAGGGGGCUAGCGUUGCUCGGAAUCACUGGGCGUAAAGGGUGCGUAGGCGGGUCUUUAAGUCAGGGGUGAAAUCCUGGAGCUCAACUCCAGAACUGCCUUUGAUACUGAAGAUCUUGAGUGCGGGAGAGGUGAGUGGAACUGCGAGUGUAGAGGUGAAAUUCGUAGAUAUUCGUAAGAACACCAGUGGCGAAGGCGGCUCACUGGCCCGAUACUGACGCUGAGGCACGAAAGCGUGGGGAGCAAACAGG
Molecule: ribosomal RNA, 253 nt
Filed under: uncultured bacterium
Lineage: Bacteria
Description: partial 16S ribosomal RNA
Rfam family: Bacterial small subunit ribosomal RNA
Source: RNAcentral